Molecule: non-coding RNA, 724 nt
Organism: Misgurnus anguillicaudatus (oriental weatherfish)
Lineage: Eukaryota; Metazoa; Chordata; Actinopteri; Cypriniformes; Cobitidae
Source: RefSeq, a predicted model, not a curated record
ACCAAUAGGAUUCAGAGUAAAGUAUUACAAAAAGUAAAAUAGUUUUUUUUCAUCAUUCUAGCAUCUAUGGCUAUAUUCAUGGCAAGAACCAGUAAAUAUAUACACAAGUUCAUCUAUACACAAAUUGGGAAAGGAAAAUUUGGCAUCUGAGAUUCACCUAACCUGCAUGUCUUUGAGGAAACCGGAGUACCCGGAGGAAACCCAUGCUGACACAGGGAGAACAUGCAAACGCCACAUAAACCUCCUGAUCCAGCCAGGGUUUGAACUAUGGGCCAUGGAACAUCAAGGAUGAUAAUGAUGAGGAGUAACACAACAUGAUGGAUGAAACAUUACGGUUUACCAGCAAACAUCAGGAGACCUGUGCUGAAACAGCAGAAGCACACAGCACAAGACUGUAAAGAUGAAAGCCAAGCUGACUUCACACAGGCAACUAAAUCAAAACCAGAGCAGCACAGCAGUCAGUUUGUUUUACUGAAGCUGAUGUUGUGUUCUUACAUUAACUGUUUACAAUACAGAUCUAUUCCUCUAAAUUUCAUGUUUAAUUUUUUAUGUGAACUCAAACUGAUUUACUUUAUGUGUGGUCCUCUUCCUAUAGUGAAUGAUUAAUUAUUGCACAUUCAUUUAAAGAAAAGCUUGUUUUCGUAAAACUUUUAAAUGCCAAAAUUAAAUAUAAAAAUAUAAAUUUCUUGUUAAAUGUAUCAUUUAAAAUACAUUUAUGCAAUUA